This 458-nucleotide ribosomal RNA is filed under the name uncultured bacterium. RNAcentral's name for it is "partial 16S ribosomal RNA". It matches the Rfam family "Bacterial small subunit ribosomal RNA", at positions 338 to 795 of the family's 1533-position model. The record is from RNAcentral.
CCUACGGGUGGCAGCAGUGAGGAAUAUUGGUCAAUGGGCGGGAGCCUGAACCAGCCAUGCCGCGUGAAGGCGAGUGCCCUACGGGCGUUAAACUUCUUUUGUGCGGGAGCAAUAAGGGCCACGUGUGGCCCGAUGAGAGUACCGCACGAAUAAGCAUCGGCUAACUCCGUGCCAGCAGCCGCGGUAAUACGGGGGAUGCGAGCGUUAUCCGGAUUUAUUGGGUUAAAAGGGUGCGCAGGCGGGCUGUUAAGCCGGCGGUAAAAAUUCAGGGCUCAACCCUGUCGAGCCGUCGGAACUGGCAGCCUUGAGUGGGCGAGAAGUAUGCGGAAUGCGUGGUGUAGCGGUGAAAUGCAUAGAUAUCACGCAGAACGCCGAUUGCGAAGGCAGCAUACCGGCGCUCAACUGACGCUCAUGCACGAAAGUGUGGGUAUCGAACAGGAUUAGAUACCCCGGUAGUC